RNAcentral lists this long non-coding RNA (407 nucleotides) under Linum usitatissimum (flax). RNAcentral's name for it is "long non-coding RNA (LUSI_LNC003491)". The record is from RNAcentral. Lineage: Eukaryota; Viridiplantae; Streptophyta; Magnoliopsida; Malpighiales; Linaceae.
AGUUUGCGUCAGGUUCAAAAAGAUCACUUCUAGUGGUGUGAUUCUCGUUUUCUUCUUAUCAAUAAUGUAUAUCUUUAUUCUUCCGGUGUGUUGAUGAUCCGAAAAUAUGCAUAAUUUUCAGAUCGACGAGCCCGAUGUAAAGAGGCUGGAUCAUUUUGGUUGUGUUGAAAUGAUUUACAAACUGUUUGGUGAUUGGACGUUGGGGGGCAUAUUAUCCAAAGCCAACAGAAAGUUUGUUUGACUAAAGAGAUACUCAUACGUCGGUAAGGGUCCCCAUUGCAACGGUUGGUAGAGAACAAACCCACGACCGUCGUCGACGACCUUUCAUCAUUAAACGACCUUAACAUAUAUUUAACAUAUUUAUAUAUCUUAAUUUAAUUAAGUUCAUCUUUUGAUGUCAUCUUUCC